RNAcentral lists this ribosomal RNA (468 nucleotides) under uncultured bacterium. RNAcentral describes it as "partial 16S ribosomal RNA". It matches the Rfam family "Bacterial small subunit ribosomal RNA", at positions 28 to 507 of the family's 1533-position model. The record is from RNAcentral.
GACGAACGCUGGCGGCGUGCUUAACACAUGCAAGUCGAACGGAAAGGCACUGCUUUUGUGGGGUGCUCGAGUGGCGAACGGGUGAGUAACACGUGAGUAACCUGCCCUUGACUUUGGGAUAACUUCAGGAAACUGGGGCUAAUACCGGAUAGGAGCUCCUGCUGCAUGGUGGGGGUUGGAAAGUUUCGGCGGUUGGGGAUGGACUCGCGGCUUAUCAGCUUGUUGGUGGGGUAGUGGCUUACCAAGGCUUUGACGGGUAGCCGGCCUGAGAGGGUGACCGGCCACAUUGGGACUGCGAUACGGCCCAGACUCCUACGGGAGGCAGCAGUGGGGAAUAUUGCACAAUGGGCGGAAGCCUGAUGCAGCAACGCCGCGUGCGGGAUGACGGCCUUCUGGUUGUAAACCGCUUUCGCCUGUGACGAAGCGUGAGUGACGGUAAUGGGUAAAGAAGCACCGGCUAACUACGUG